This 226-nucleotide unclassified non-coding RNA is filed under the name Hevea brasiliensis (rubber tree). Lineage: Eukaryota; Viridiplantae; Streptophyta; Magnoliopsida; Malpighiales; Euphorbiaceae. The record is from RNAcentral.
ACAGAUUGUAAGUUAAAUCAUCCCCCUCACAAUUUGCUCAUGACUGCAAUAGCUGCAACAACCAGCAUGGGAACUAUCAGUCAAGUGCCUAUGGCCCCUUCUGCUGCUGCUAUGGCAGCUGCUCAGGCUAUUGUUGCUGCCCAAGCCCUUCAAGCCCAUGCUGCUCAAGUGCAAGCUCAGCAAGCUCAGUCUGCAAAAGACUCUUCUGGUUCAUCUGACAAAUCUG